CUUGGGAUGACCUUUUGCAGUCUUUGGAAACCGUAAUCUAUGGUAGGUUCAUUCAAAGCUGUGUAAAUAAACCUGCCUGGGGCGCCUUUGCAAAACUGUUUGGAUUUGUAUGAUAAUGUCACUUCAACCACUCCGGGAAUGUGACGUGGAGGUGUCUGAACUCGAAUGGCAUGAGGCGUGAUAAGCUCACUCCAUACAAGCAUGGUUCCAAACACUACUUGCAGCCCAUCAAAGAAGUUGUCUCCAAUAAUGAUCACCAUUGCUCCUCCCGUUGUCCACCCUUCGCUUGGGCUGAUGGCUUUGAUGCACGGUGUGGCUUCAGAGGGGUCAAGUCUCCUUGCUCUCCGUCCAUGCUUGGAGUUGUUGUGAACAAACAUGUUGUCAGACACUGCCAGCACGUGCCCAUCAACAUUCACUGUUGUGGAUAGCACAACCUGGAACCGCCUCAUAUCUCGGGGGUUUCCUGCUGUUUUCAAACAAUUCUGAUUGCACUUGAGAAAAAAUUUUAAGAAGAAUCUGUCGAUGAUCACGGGGUCCGAUGGAGUCUCGUUUCUGUUGCCACAACUCUUCUUCU
RNAcentral lists this long non-coding RNA (574 nucleotides) under Gallus gallus (chicken). Lineage: Eukaryota; Metazoa; Chordata; Aves; Galliformes; Phasianidae. The record is from RNAcentral.